This 270-nucleotide long non-coding RNA is filed under the name Lathyrus oleraceus (garden pea). Its description in RNAcentral is "Pisum sativum (pea) long non-coding RNA (PSAT_LNC027742)". The record is from RNAcentral. Lineage: Eukaryota; Viridiplantae; Streptophyta; Magnoliopsida; Fabales; Fabaceae.
CAAGUGCUGCACGUUUUUGGGCCUUAAUGCUGCAAACAGACCUUUGCAAAUGUUGUUUGUGGUCUGUACACCAAUUGCUAGCUUUGUCUCACUUGUUUCAAGCCAUUUGCAAAAUUUGUCACAUAUGCAUUUUGGUCCAUAAUUGUGGCAUAAUGGUGAUAUGAACAUGGUUUAAGAAUUGGAACAUGUCUCAAAUUUGAUAUAAAAGCAAUCUCAAUUGGCCAAAUGGUGAAAAAAGUUUUAAUUCAAAAAGUCAAAGUUUGGUCAAAC